Molecule: small nucleolar RNA, 118 nt
Organism: Echinops telfairi (small Madagascar hedgehog)
Lineage: Eukaryota; Metazoa; Chordata; Mammalia; Afrosoricida; Tenrecidae
Product: small nucleolar RNA SNORA61
Exons: 1
Source: RefSeq, a predicted model, not a curated record
AGCCUCCAGUUCCCUUUCCCAUCGGAUCAAACACUGGUCUGGGUGGUCAUCAAAGGAGGAAAAGGAACACUGAAGCUGCCCCUUGUGCUCUUGGAGCUGGGGCUCCUUUCAAACACCA